This is a long non-coding RNA of Gossypium raimondii (Peruvian cotton), 805 nucleotides long. RefSeq lists it as uncharacterized. The record is from RefSeq and is a predicted model, not a curated record. The transcript has 2 exons. NCBI's taxonomy places the organism in Eukaryota, Viridiplantae, Streptophyta, Magnoliopsida, Malvales, Malvaceae.
UAUUUUCUUUUUUCUUUCUUUUUCUCUUUUUUCUUUCUCCUUUCUUCUUCGUCUUCCCUUUACUUUUUCUUUCUUUUGAGCCCCAGCCGCCGCUUCUCCUCCGUUGUCCACUGCCGCCGUCGACUCCUCCGUUCGGUGGCGCUAGUCUCAGCGUUCUCUCCUCUUCUUUUCCUUUUUCUCUUCUCUUUCCCUUUCCUCUCUUUUCUUUCUCUUCUAUUUCUUUUCUCGGCAACCCCAAGGUUGAAAGCGCCGCUGCAACGCUCGUCCUUGGCUCUUCUCCUCCCUCGGUGGCUCACGAAGAAGACCAAAAAUUUCUCACUAUUUUUAUUUUUGCUGCUGUUUUUACUGUCUUUUUCUUGCUUUUUGGUUGCUUGUUGCUUGUUGCUUGUUGUGUGUUGUGUUUGAUUUGUUGUAGGUGCCGGCGGUGGAGCAACACCGGUGGUGGUGCAACGAUGGCGGUUGCAGGGGAGCCAUUAUAGCCUAGGGAGGCUGUUGGAGUAGCUCGGCUGGGGAGGGGUACGCUCGGCUGCCAUUGCGGCGAUUUGACAAGUCCAGGAGGACCAAAUUGCAUAGGAUGCAAAGCUUUUGGGGCAAAAGUGAAAUUUUAGCAAAAAUACGGGCCAAAAUGUAAUUUCCUAAGAGUUUAGGGGUUAAAGUGCAAUUUUGAGAAAGUUUAAGGGUCAAAAUGUAGUUUUAGAAAAUUUUGGGGUCAAAAUGUAAAUUUUAGAAAAGUUUGGGGUCAAAAUGUAAAUUUCAAAAAGUACAAGGGUUAAAAUGUAAAUUUAAAAAAAAUUUCAAAAUUUUA